GCGGGGGUAGCAAAGCUCGGUUAAGGACUAAAAACAGUUGCCGUUUUGCAUGCAACUGUUUCAGCCGACUACAUGCGCAGGCUUGAGGGGUCUGUGGCUUAGUGCCUUCGUGAGUUCAAAUCUCACCCCCCGCA
Molecule: transfer RNA, 134 nt
Filed under: Candidatus Aenigmatarchaeota archaeon
Lineage: Archaea; Nanobdellati; Candidatus Aenigmatarchaeota
Description: tRNA-Leu
Source: RNAcentral